This 464-nucleotide ribosomal RNA is filed under the name uncultured bacterium. Its description in RNAcentral is "partial 16S ribosomal RNA". It matches the Rfam family "Bacterial small subunit ribosomal RNA", at positions 32 to 507 of the family's 1533-position model. The record is from RNAcentral.
AACGCUGGCGGCGUGCUUAGCACAUGCAAGUCGAACGGAAAGGCCCUGCUUUUGUGGGGUGCUCGAGUGGCGAACGGGUGAGUAACACGUGAGUAACCUGCCCUUGACUUUGGGAUAACUUCAGGAAACUGGGGCUAAUACCGGAUAGGAGCUCCUGCUGCAUGGUGGGGGUUGGAAAGUUUCGGCGGUUGGGGAUGGACUCGCGGCUUAUCAGCUUGUUGGUGGGGUAGUGGCUUACCAAGGCUUUGACGGGUAGCCGGCCUGAGAGGGUGACCGGCCACAUUGGGACUGAGAUACGGCCCAGACUCCUACGGGAGGCAGCAGUGGGGAAUAUUGCACAAUGGGCGGAAGCCUGAUGCAGCAACGCCGCGUGCGGGAUGACGGCCUUCGGGUUGUAAACCGCUUUCGCCUGUGACGAAGCGUGAGUGACGGUAAUGGGUAAAGAAGCACCGGCUAACUACGUG